AUGAAUACAAAAGAUACAUUUAAAAAAAUAUAUAUUUCCCUCUCAGAAUUCAUAAAAUAAAGUGACAGAUUAUUAGCAUAAUUUACAUGAACAAGUGUAAAAAUUGAUCAGAAACAUACCUUUACUAACCGAAUAUGUGACUGUUAUCAAAAUUUUAAUCUCUCUAAAGCUUAUAUACACGUUUAAGAACACUCAAAGAAGCCCGAAACCUGAAUUGUCACCUAACUUAAAUGAUAAAUGUAUUACAUGAUUACAGUUAGUAGUAAUCUCUACAACCUGAAGAAACGCAAGCCUUUAUCAACAUUAUCUUGCCUAAAGGCAAGAAUCCCAAAUUUACAGAUCUAAAUUUCAGUCUGAGUCUAAGGUCAAGUAUUUAUUUCAUAAUAACGUAAGCUCUUUGGUAAGGGUGCUAGUCAGCUCUCAUAUAAUAUGUAUCAAGUAUAAGCAAAUUCAAUAGAUAUCAGCAUGCUGUAUUUGUUUAGGAUCCUAACUCCAUUUUACAGUAUUAAACCCAAAUCAACAGAUCCUUCACUACGGACAAAUAUCAGCUGAUUGAAUAAUCAACUAAAGGCCUGAAUCCAUUGUUGGGAGCAACAGAAAGAAAACUAUCAAAAUACACAAAGUAGCAAAUUCCACAUAUUCUAUCUAUUGGGAUGAUUUGGAGAACCAGGCUCAGGAAUUUCUCCCUGAUUUUUUUUUUCUUGUGAUGAUGAAAAGGAAAGCAAAGACCUAGCAGCAAAUGCAAAAUAAGAGCAGCGGAGUGUUGGGGGGAAGGAAAUGCUUUGAAGCUGGCUAUUCUUCGGAUCAUAGUGGUGACAACACAUGAUCCUGAUGAUCAGACGACUAGCACAGGUAUGAAUACAAAAGAUACAUUUAAAAAAAUAUAUAUUUCCCUCUCAGAAUUCAUAAAAUAAAGUGACAGAUUAUUAGCAUAAUUUACAUGAACAAGUGUAAAAAUUGAUCAGAAACAUACCUUUACUAACCGAAUAUGUGACUGUUAUGAAAAUUUUAUUCUCUCGAAAGCUUAUAUACACGUUUAAGAACACUCAAAGAAGCCCGAAACCUGAAUUGUCACCUAACUUAAAUGAUAAAUGUAUUACAUGAUUACAGUUGGUAGUAAUCUCUACAACCUGAAGAAACGCAAGCCUUUAUCAACAUUAUCUUGCCUAAAGGCAAGAAUCCCAAAUUUACAGAUCUAAAUUUCAGUCUGAGUCUAAGGUCAAGUAUUUAUUUCAUAAUAACGUAAGCUCUUUGGUAAGGGUGCUAGUCAGCUCUCAUAUAAUAUGUAUCAAGUAUAAGCAAAUUCAAUAGAUAUCAGCAUGCUGUAUAUGUUUAGGAUCCUAACUCCAUUUUACAG
RNAcentral lists this long non-coding RNA (1357 nucleotides) under Daucus carota (carrot). RNAcentral's name for it is "long non-coding RNA (DCAR_LNC001707)". Lineage: Eukaryota; Viridiplantae; Streptophyta; Magnoliopsida; Apiales; Apiaceae. The record is from RNAcentral.